AUCGACGCUAUCAAUAGUAUUCAGAUCAUGUAAUAUACUUCUUUAUGUUUAUCGAUUAUGAGUGUAACUAUUUCAACUGUACCUUGAAAUAAUGGUACAAAUAAUGAUACGAAUGGUAAAAAUAAGGUACGAGUAAAGUUGUAAUUAAUCGAUAAAAAUAAUUAACGAAUUAUGUGUAACGAAAAAAGUGUUUAAUAAGCUAAGUAGGCGUGAAAUAUUCUGCCAGAACGGUGUCAAUUACCAACCAACGAAAGCUAAAAUAAGCCAUUAUUAAGAGGCCAUGAUGACCGAUGACACCUCGUUAAUUUUCGACACUGUUGCAAUAACAACGUUCUCUAUUUACGUUUAAUUGCUUUUUACGAUGACAAUUCGUUAAACGACCAAAUAUCAUUACAACGAAGAUGAUAUUUUUGGCCAACUAUAGCAACCGGAAAUGAACACGCACUGUGAAAUAUAAUGCUCGACCACCAUUAGUUUCAAAUGAAAGGUAUAAAAAGUAUCUAAAAUUUUUGGUACUUGGCUCGUAUCUGUACAAUGAGAAAAUUGCAUAAAGCCGUGGCGUUACAAACAAAGCGUUUGCCAAGUAUUUCCUGCGAUUACGUUAUCUAUCGUUCUACACGGAGUUUUACGCAGAAUUACGAAAUUAUUAAAAAUACAAUUGUUACAUUUCCACGAAAACUCGAGAAGAGUCGAGAAGAUUGAAGAACAGAAACCGUGGGCUAUAAAGAUGUAAGAUGAUUAUGCUUGCUUGAUGUUGUUUGAUCGGCUGUCGUCAUUGCUAAAAAAUGACGAAAAUGAGAAUGUCAAGUGGAACGAUGUAGAAAGAGAGUGAACAGCAGGAUAAAGUUACGCGUCGUAUUUAUAAGACGCGCUUGCAAGAAUAGAAGAUCGAAUUUGAAUACAGUCACUAUCGACUUUGUUUCGAACGAACGACGAUUGAACGACCGAUGCAACGAUCGAUGCAAUCCUGGCUUUCACGAGAUCAUUAAUUAUAUCAAAUAACGAUUAUUUCAUUAUAAAUGGGUCAGAAACAUUAUCUUAGAGGGUGAGUAACGGUCUCUCUCUUUCUCUCUCUUUCUCUCUUUCUCUCUCUCUCUCUCUCUCUCUCUCUCUCUCUCUCUCUCUCUCUCUCUCUCUCUCUCGAAAUAGAUGAAGGACCCUAGCCGGCAAAAAUAACGUGUACCCCGUCUGCUGCGAAAUUUUUCUCCGCCACGAUCAAUGCUUGUCAACUCUUGAUUAAUUUUUAUUAUCAUUGAUCUUUUUAAUUAAAAAGUUGAAAGCACGAUUAAAGUACUUCCAUCGAGUAUCUACUUAUGUCAUAUACUUAUAUCAUUAUUAACUAUCCGUCGAAAAUAUGUCAUUUCGGAGAAGGAAGUUGUUUUCACGUCGUUUUAUAGAAUGUCCCCGAACUAAAUUCGGACGCACCGAAACAGUUGUUUCGAAAAUUGUUUAUCGUUUGGCUCGGUAGCGAUGCACUGAAACUCGAACUACAACAAUGAAAAAACUUUCUAGAUUCUGCUGGCAAGGUACACAGAAAAGACAACAAGUGUUUCGAUAUUUUGUGAAUUGAGUCACAGUAUCUGAUAGACCAAAGGUCUGGUAAAUUAAAAUGUUUCUACAUAAUCAACAACGAUCCUUUUCCUAUGUAUUUCUUUCGUGUUUAUUCCCUUAGCGUGCGAUAACGUUUUUCAACGUUGCCGAAAUAAUUUUUUAACGAAGCAAGUUCUUUGGAAAGUCAAGAGGACAAGCUGUAAGAGUGUCGUUGUAUGACCCUCUUGUGUUUGAGUAACCCAGAUCUCAUUUACGAAAAUAGAUUAAGAUUCCAAUGAAUAGUCGGUAACAUGCUUACAUUCGUUUUAUUGCAUCGCGUUAUUAGUCAGUCAUACCCCCUGUAAUCUUUUUUCAAUUGAAUCGCUCUUCCUUCCGUUGCAUUCGUUCUUACAGUGUGCACCGUUUCGUGAUAAGCCGUACGCAAGUUCGUUUGCUUGUCUUUUUCAGUGUCAUUAGGGUAGAAUCAAGACCUAGCCCUACUUUUACGGAGGGUGUCAAGGUUGGCACUCGGCGACGUAAUUCAAAAUUUAGAUCAUCUUAUGUUACGUGUUCGUUUCUAACGAGUAAUAGUCGAUUUCGAUCGCUAAUCCAUAUCUUUAAAUUCUUUAUAGAAAAAACGAUUGCUGUUAAAAUAUCCGUUCUGAAUCAGUGUCGACAGAUACGAGAAAAAAAUAAUAUAAGACGGAUGAGAAGGAAAACGUUGCGUUAGGAACAACACGGUCUUCUUUCUCGAUGCUGUGUUGUUUUAUUUUCAACAAUGAUAAGAUAUUUUAUCUUGUUAACUGAUGCAAAAUGUCAACGAGACGAUAAAAAUUCUUUUUUUGAA
Long non-coding RNA from Bombus huntii, 2377 nucleotides. RefSeq lists it as uncharacterized. The record is from RefSeq and is a predicted model, not a curated record. The transcript has 2 exons. NCBI's taxonomy places the organism in Eukaryota, Metazoa, Arthropoda, Insecta, Hymenoptera, Apidae.